UAGGGAAUCUUCCACAAUGGACGAAAGUCUGAUGGAGCAACGCCGCGUGAGUGAAGAAGGGUUUCGGCUACGUAAAACUCUGUUGUUAAAGAAGAACAUAUCUGAGAGUAACUGUUCAGGUAUUGACGUAUUUAACCAGAAAGCCACGGCUAACUACGUGCCAG
This 164-nucleotide ribosomal RNA is filed under the name uncultured bacterium. RNAcentral describes it as "partial 16S rRNA". It matches the Rfam family "Bacterial small subunit ribosomal RNA", at positions 355 to 511 of the family's 1533-position model. The record is from RNAcentral.